CCCUUAGAUGUCCGGGGCCGCACGCGCGCUACACUGAAGGAAUCAGCGUGGCUUUCUCCCUGACCCGAAAGGGUUGGGAAACCCGUUGAAUCUCCUUCGUGAUAGGGAUUGGGGCUUGAAAUUGUUCCCCAUGAACGAGGAAUUCCCAGUAAGCGCGAGUCAUACGCUCGCGUUGAUUACGUCCCUGCCCUUUGUACACACCGCCCGUCGCUACUACCGAUUGAACGGUUUAGUGAGGGCCUCGGAUUGGUCUCGGCCCGCUCUUUACCGGGCGGCGCCGUUGGUCGAGAAGACGCUCGAACUUGAUCGUUUAGAGGAAGUAAAAGUCGUAACA
Molecule: ribosomal RNA, 334 nt
Filed under: uncultured eukaryote
Lineage: Eukaryota
Description: partial 18S ribosomal RNA
Rfam family: Eukaryotic small subunit ribosomal RNA
Source: RNAcentral